This 794-nucleotide long non-coding RNA is filed under the name Triticum aestivum (bread wheat). RNAcentral's name for it is "long non-coding RNA (TAES_LNC020370)". The record is from RNAcentral. Lineage: Eukaryota; Viridiplantae; Streptophyta; Magnoliopsida; Poales; Poaceae.
UCCACUCCUUUCUGUAUCUCCUUCCUCGACCCAAUCCCCACCUCCCCGGCCUCUCUUGACCUUCCUCCACUCGCAAUCCUAGUGGCAACCAUCACCCCCACACACCAUUGUGUACCUUUCCGGCUAUCCCCUCCCCCUCGGAACUAUCUUCACGAUGAUGGUUGAUCUGCAGCAUGUGCAGCUGAUCUGCCAAGUUUGACGGCGGCAGCAGCCCGAGUGAUGAGAUCCGCAUCUUGGGCGCGCGCAGAUCCAGCAAGGGCUCAACCCCCGAUGUUGGCCUUGUCGGAGAGGAGCGACCGUGUGGUGGCCGGUCUAAGACAAUGGCUCGCGGGAGGCCGUAGUGUACCCUAGCCGCCACUGGAUUCCGGUGUGCCUUCCGCCCCUUCUGUUGGCUUCCUCGACAUCAUGGCUGCUUCAACCACAUGUCAGGUUCAUUUGCCUAAGCUGGUACCCAUAACAGCCGUUCGUGGGCAAGGUGCGAAGCCUAAGGCUGGUGCGUGGCCACCCUCUUCAAUAGAUUGCUUAAGCUUGGCUACUGCCUUCUCCAAAUCUUAUGGUGUUGUGUGUGUGUGUGUGUGUGUGUGUGUGCUGACAUGGCGGCGGCAGCGAUUAUCGAGGGCUAGUCAUGUAUACGAGUGAGAUGUGUGUGUGUGCAGCAGCCGGUGUGUUGUGUUUCCGGGUUUCCUCUCUGAAUCUUUAAAUCUUUAACACUGAAUUUUCUCUGUAUCUUUACACUGCAGGGUACCCAGUAGAGACAAAAGGCACAUGUUCAUCAACCGGCUACAUUGUGCUAU